This is a non-coding RNA of Dermochelys coriacea (leatherback sea turtle), 2909 nucleotides long. The record is from the annotation of a RefSeq genome assembly. Lineage: Eukaryota; Metazoa; Chordata; Testudines; Dermochelyidae.
CAGCGGUAGUAGCUGGGAGUUUGAAACCUGGUCGGUACAGAUAGAAAAUACUAUGGAAACAUGUUUUAUUCUCAGCAUUUGGAUAUUUAUCCUAGGUAACUGGGCAAGGAUUUGAAAGAGGCCUCAGGAAUCUAGACACUCAAUUCCCAUUGAACCAUAAACCUAACCCUCUACUUAACCCUUGCCCUGAACUGUAACCCUCCCACAAGACUGUAACCAAAAUGCGAAUGCUACAACCUGACAGUUCACUCUCACCAUAACCCUAAAGCCUACCCCUGCCCUAGGGGUGUAGAAGCACUGUCCGCCAGCCCAGUCUCUUCCCUAAAGAACCUACAGCCUAAGGGUGACUACCCGUCUCUACCACUGAGCUGCUAUAUGAACUUGGGCAAGUCCUUUCUACUCUCUGUGCAUGUUUCCCUCCCAUCCCCUGGUCUGCCUUUCCCUGCUGCCCAGGUCAUCUCUUAGGGGCAGGGAGCUUUUGUGGCGAUCUGUUUUUAAAGCACCUAUCACGCUGCCUAGGGAGGCCUCUAGGCGCUUGGUGCAAUAAUCUCAGUGCGGCACCAGCCUGUUUUGGAGACGGGACACCAGGCCAAACGGAUCGGCCCGGCCAUUCUCGGGAUCCAGCCGAGGGUAAAACCAGGCCCCUUCCCCAUGGGCCGUGCCCUCUGCUGCCCCCCAGUGGCUAUUCCGCCCCACCCACCCUCAGCGGCAUCAAUCCGCUUUUCAUUGACAUCCUGUUUUCAUUCGCUUCCCCUCAUCUUUUUUUAAAAAAAUCCCCGAUACAAUUUUCGGUGCCUGAUAGUGGCUGGCGCUUCGCCUUGUUACCCUCUUCGGCCAGUGGCUUUUCACCAUUUUUUUGCUUCCUUGUUGUUGGUGUGUGCGUGCUACAUAAAUAUUGCUUAACCCAGGAGAGCACAACAGAGAGGGAAAUCCAUGAAUUAUAGGGACAGAGCCUUAACCGUCAGAAACGGGACCAGCUGCCCCGGAUUUAAAUGCACCUCCAGUGAUUUACAUCAGCUACGGAUCUGCCCAUGGUCUCCAGUGGAACUAUGGUCAGUUUGCUCCAGCUGGGGAACCGGCCCAAUGACUCUGAUGGAACCCAAUUAAUCUGCACCGGUGGAGGAUCAGGCCCAGGGCAUUCAGAAGGAAAACCCUUUCCCUCCCCCACCUACUUGAACAGGGUAAAUGUAUCGAUUUCCUUCCAGCCUGAAGGCCACCCCUGGAGGCCGAGCGGUGUCACAGCUUCACCUCAUCCAGGUUCAGCUGCAGCCACUUCAUUCUGCAGCUGAGUCCCUGACAAUGAGCCUGGCCGCUUUGCUGCUGGUGCUGGCUUCAGGUGCGUUGGCCCAAUACACGGUGACCCAGGACCCGUCCCAAGCCCCUGCCCAUGAAGGAGAACCCAUCCAGCUCAACUGCUCCUACACGGGCACCGAGUACAGCGUGCACUGGUACCGCCAGCUCCAGGGGGGCCAGCCGCGGUUCGUGGCCUCCCUGUCCUCUAGCGGCAGAGACACCCGAGAGAAUUUCACCAUGAGCCUGGACACCAAAACCAAAAGCAGCUUCUUGUACCUGAACAGCAGCCGCCUGCAAGACGCCGCUGUGUAUCUGUGCGCGCUGGAGCACAGUGCUAGGUGAACACAGGCAGCCCGUCACAAAACCCUGGGUGGGGCAGGCCACAAGGACCGAAAAGAGGAGAUAAAAAGAAGUUAAAAUAGAACAGAGGUUAUGAGCACAGAAGAGAAGAAAGGAAAGUAGAACAGAGUAGGUGAGAGGUAAUAAGAACAGAAUGGAACAGAAGAGAAUACAUUGGAAUGGACCCGAACAGAAGCUAUGUGAACAGAAUAAAGGGGAGAGAAGUCAGUAAUUUAACGAAGAACCUUGAAGAAACACCUGGAAAAUUAUAGACAGUCACAUUUUCACCUUUUCGCCUUCCCCAAUUGCCUGGAUCGGGUGGUUUUAUAUCAAAAAUAGCUUCCUUGCCCCACAACACUAGCAGAUGGGGAAGCAUUGUCUGGGGAGACAAUAUGGUAACUCAGUAAUUCCAGUGUGAUUUUCCCUGUUAUUCAGGUCAGACACUUUCAGACUGGUAACAUGCACACAGACAUUCUCACAUAGAGUCACACAUAGGACAAAAUAACACAAGUAAUCUCUCUCUCUCUCUCUCUCUCUCACACACACACACACACACACACACACACACACACACUUGCACAGACAUACACACUCACAUAAGAAUUCUCACAUACCACACGCACUCUCUUACUCUCUCCUAGACUCAGACACACAAAUAGACAGAUUCUAACACACAGCCAGAAACCUACACACUGAAAUCACCCACACACAGGCACACUCUCUGAUAUAUAUUCUCCCUUCACACACAAUCAGAAAUAUUAAUAUCUACGCAUACACUCCGUCACACUCACACACACACACACACACACUUCAUCUCAGAGGCAAAGAGAUCCAUGCACGAUCCUAGAUGAUAAUAUCCUCGAUUGGACCAACUUCUAUUGGGGAGACAAGUUUUCCAGCUACACAGAGCUCUUCCUCCACUGUGAAGCGCCUCUCUCUCACCAACAGAAGUUGGUCCAAUAAAAGAUAUGACCUCACCCAUCUUGUCCCUCCAAUAGCGUGGGACCCACAUAGCUUCAACAACACAGCACACUCCUAGAUAAACAGACUGGCCCCCAGAAUGCAGCCUACACCCAGAGAAUGUCCUGUGUCAGACAUAGAUCUCUAGGCAAAGGGACCCAGUCCUGCCUUUCAUUGCAAGGUCUGACAGACACCACAGCACCCAUGAACUUCCUUCUGCUCAUUGCACUGCUGCGAGGUAUUACAGCCUUCAGUUCUCUGUGCUUUGUUAUUCUCUCUCUCACACACACACUAACACACCUUCCCUCUCACACUCA